AAGAAGAUAGCUCAGCGGGAGAGCACCGAACACCACGGUUGUCGAUGGUUCAACUCCAUCUCUUCUUC
RNAcentral lists this transfer RNA (68 nucleotides) under Caudoviricetes sp. RNAcentral describes it as "tRNA-Cys". It matches the Rfam family "tRNA". From Rfam's summary of the family: Transfer RNA (tRNA) molecules are approximately 80 nucleotides in length. Their secondary structure includes four short double-helical elements and three loops (D, anti-codon, and T loops). The record is from RNAcentral. Lineage: Duplodnaviria; Heunggongvirae; Uroviricota; Caudoviricetes.